UACGGAAGGCGCUAGCGGUGUUCGGAAUUACUGGGCGUAAAGAGCGCGUAGGCGGCUUACCAAGUUGGGGGUGAAAUCCCGGAGCUCAACUCCGGAACUGCCUUCAAAACUGGUAGGCUCGGGUCCGGAAGAGGGGCGUGGAAUUCCCAGUGUAGAGGUGAAAUUCGUAGAUAUUGGGAAGAACACCGGUGGCGAGGGCGGCGCCCUGGUCCGGUACUGACGCUGAGGCGCGAAAGCGUGGGGAGCAAACAGG
This 253-nucleotide ribosomal RNA is filed under the name uncultured bacterium. RNAcentral describes it as "partial 16S ribosomal RNA". It matches the Rfam family "Bacterial small subunit ribosomal RNA", at positions 524 to 776 of the family's 1533-position model. The record is from RNAcentral.